Long non-coding RNA from Cygnus olor (mute swan), 605 nucleotides. RefSeq lists it as uncharacterized. The record is from RefSeq and is a predicted model, not a curated record. NCBI's taxonomy places the organism in Eukaryota, Metazoa, Chordata, Aves, Anseriformes, Anatidae. The transcript has 3 exons.
UUCUGAAAUUUUAUUUCACUUUUGAGUGAAAUACAGCUUGCUUGCCAACUAUUAAUUAUACUCUGAAAUCUUGGUUGUGUGUAUACAGUUUCUCAAAAUUGUUCUUCAGGAAUUUGAAGCUCUGUUUUGGCUGUUCAUAUUCUGCUAUGGAAAUACUUAGGACUUUGUUUACCUUCAGCGAUGAUGCUGUGUGUGAAGUCCCAGAAUUGACGGUUCUCUUAAAACACUUUACAGCCCACUGGGUGAACAGUAGAUGUCUCCAGGAUCCUUGAGUAACUCGGGAGUAACUUGGGAGUGGAAGUACAAUGUAGGGGGCAAUGCAGAAACACAUAAUUUUUACAGGUUUUAGAAGAAUUUUGAGGAAGGAACAUCAUUUCUGCAGUCUGAUGAGUUAUGGCGAGAGGCCUCCCCUGCAGAGCUGUGGGAAGCUGGCGGGGACAGGGGCCGGCCAGAAGAACUUGUGUGCUUGGCAGGGCUAGGAUUGGGUAAAGUCCUACAGUACUGAACAUGAGGAAAGGUUGGAUGACAACAUGGGCUCUGCAUUGGUAACAACUUGUAUAAGAGAGUGUGAGAGUAUAAGAGACAGCAGAAUUCUUCAAGUCAAC